AUGUUCCAGAGUACGAACCUCCUCACGCGACGCUGGCGGAGGAGGAGUGAGGGGUGUAGGGGAGCCCCGGGGUUUAUUAAAGCCCCCCCCCCCCCCCCAGCAGCUGGAGAAGCCAUCAGCAUCUGGAGAAACCCCACGUGUGUCACACCUCCACCCUCCAAACUCUGUGCAGAUAAAGUGCUGUUCACCUCACGGCGGACGUGGAAACGCUCCUCCUCCUCCUCCUCCCCCUCCUCCUCUUCCCUCCUCCUCCUCCUCCUCCUCCUCCUCCUCCUCCCCCUCCUCCCCCUCCUCCUCCUCCUCCCCCUCCUCCUCCCUCCCCCUCCUCCUCUUCCUCCUCCUCCUCCUCCCCUCCUCCUCCUCCUCCCCCUCCUCGUCUUCCUCCUCCUCCUCCUCCCCCUCCUCCCCCCCUCCUCCUCCUCCCCUCCUCCUCCUCCCCUCCUCCUCCUCCUCCUCCUCCUCCCCCUCCUCCUCCUCCUCUUCCUCCUCCUCCUCCUCCCCCUCCUCCCCCCCCUCCUCCUCCUCCUCCUCCUCCUCCCCUCCUCCUCUCCCCCCCUCCCCCUCCUCCUCCUCCUCCUCCUCUUCCUCUUCCUCUUCCUCUCCUCCUCCUCCUCCUCCUCCUCCUCCUCCUCCUCCCGCCUCAGCGCCUCCCCCCCCCUCCUCUUCCUCCCUCCUCCUCCUCCCUCCUCCUCCUCCUCCUCGUCUUCCCUCCUCCUCCUCCUCCUCUUCCUCCUCCUCCUCCUCCUCCCCCCUCCUCCUCUUCCUCCUCCUGAUGGCUUCUCCACGUUUCUGCUCAGUGCGAGCACUUUCCACACAUCCGCCGCGGGACGGAUGCGAGCGCACGGAGACGAGGCAGCAGUUUUCCACAUGUUGGCGCGUGACAACAAUACAUGUGGUUGGAGUUUUCUAAAAGCUAAGCUGCAGAUUUAUGGCUCUGUGCGUGCAGAGCGUAUAGACUGGAGGAGGGUGACUCCACUAUGGACGUACAAAGGAGUCAUUACGUCAGAUAAACGAGAUCAAUUAUCUGUGGAUUGGAGACUCUCCCAUUUCAGACACUGA
RNAcentral lists this long non-coding RNA (1059 nucleotides) under Betta splendens (Siamese fighting fish). RNAcentral's name for it is "lncRNA (ENSBSLG00000004897.1)". The record is from RNAcentral. Lineage: Eukaryota; Metazoa; Chordata; Actinopteri; Anabantiformes; Osphronemidae.